Long non-coding RNA from Amblyraja radiata (thorny skate), 153 nucleotides. RefSeq lists it as uncharacterized. Lineage: Eukaryota; Metazoa; Chordata; Chondrichthyes; Rajiformes; Rajidae. The record is from RefSeq and is a predicted model, not a curated record. The transcript has 2 exons.
GUGUGCUUAGGGUCGUUGUCCUGUUGGAAGGUGAACCUCCGCCCCAGUCUGAGGUCCAGAACACUCUGGAGCAGGUUUUCAUCAAGGAUCUCUCUGUACUUUGCUCCGUUCAUCUUUCCCUUGAUGCUGACUAGUCUCCCAAUUCCUGCCGCU